This is a non-coding RNA of Coffea arabica (coffee), 308 nucleotides long. The record is from RefSeq and is a predicted model, not a curated record. Lineage: Eukaryota; Viridiplantae; Streptophyta; Magnoliopsida; Gentianales; Rubiaceae.
AUUUGCUUCUAUCUUUUUCUUUAAUAUUAUCUCAAGCAGAUCUGCAUUUUUUUCAUUAGAAAUACUUAAUAUAGAGAUUGACGGUGAAUAAAGCUCCAUCGCCAUCUUAGUUGGCUAUUCCUAUACUCAACAUUGAAUGAAAAUGUGUUGCAACUAAAGAUGAUUAAAGCCCCAUGACUACAAUCAGCAGCUAGCCAUAUCAAGCAACAUGCUCUACCAUCGGUCUACAAUGUUGCAGGAUUACUGAAAUUUUGUUAUGCUGAUGGUUAUCAUAUACAUAUUAGGAGAUGAACACAAGGACUAUAAUA